Molecule: ribosomal RNA, 491 nt
Filed under: uncultured bacterium
Lineage: Bacteria
Description: partial 16S ribosomal RNA
Rfam family: Bacterial small subunit ribosomal RNA
Source: RNAcentral
AGUGAACGCUGGCGGUAGGCCUAACACAUGCAAGUCGAACGGCAGCACAGUAAGAGCUUGCUCUUACGGGUGGCGAGUGGCGGACGGGUGAGGAAUACAUCGGAGUCUACUUUUUCGUGGGGGAUAACGUAGGGAAACUUACGCUAAUACCGCAUACGACCUACGGGUGAAAGCAGGGGAUCUUCGGACCUUGCGCGAUUGAAUGAGCCGAUGUCGGAUUAGCUAGUUGGCGGGGUAAAGGCCCACCAAGGCGACGAUCCGUAGCUGGUCUGAGAGGAUGAUCAGCCACACUGGAACUGAGACACGGUCCAGACUCCUACGGGAGGCAGCAGUGGGGAAUAUUGGACAAUGGGCGCAAGCCUGAUCCAGCCAUACCGCGUGGGUGAAGAAGGCCUUCGGGUUGCAAAGCCCUUUUGUUGGGAAAGAAAAGCAGCAGGUUAAUACCCCGCUGUUCUGACGGUACCCAAAGAAUAAGCACCGGCUAACUUCGU